Small nuclear RNA from Erinaceus europaeus (western European hedgehog), 159 nucleotides. Its record names the gene U1. It matches the Rfam family "U1 spliceosomal RNA". From Rfam's summary of the family: U1 is a small nuclear RNA (snRNA) component of the spliceosome (involved in pre-mRNA splicing). Its 5' end forms complementary base pairs with the 5' splice junction, thus defining the 5' donor site of an intron. NCBI's taxonomy places the organism in Eukaryota, Metazoa, Chordata, Mammalia, Eulipotyphla, Erinaceidae. The record is from Ensembl.
AUACUUACCUGGCAGGGGAGAUACCAUGAUCAAGAAGGUGGUUUUCCCAGGGCGAGGCUUAUCCAUUGCACUCCGGAUGUGCUGACCCCUGCGAUUUCCCCAAAUGUGGGAAACUCGACUGCAUAAUUUGUGGUAGUGGGGGACUGCGUUCGCGUAAAA